Molecule: ribosomal RNA, 797 nt
Filed under: uncultured marine microorganism
Description: bacterial SSU rRNA
Rfam family: Bacterial small subunit ribosomal RNA
Source: RNAcentral
AGAGUUUGAUCAUGGCUCAGAUUGAACGCUAGCGGCAUGCUUAACACAUGCAAGUCGAACGGCAGCACGAGGAGCUUGCUCCUUGGUGGCGAGUGGCGGACGGGUGAGUAACGCGUAGGAAUCUACCUUGUAGUGGGGGAUAACCCGAGGAAACUCGGGCUAAUACCGCAUAAUCUCUACGGAGCAAAGCGGGGGACCUUAGGGCCUCGUGCUAUUAGAUGAGCCUGCGUCAGAUUAGCUUGUUGGUGGGGUAAUGGCCUACCAAGGCGACGAUCUGUAGCUGGUCUGAGAGGAUGAUCAGCCACACUGGGACUGAGACACGGCCCAGACUCCUACGGGAGGCAGCAGUGGGGAAUAUUGGACAAUGGGCGCAAGCCUGAUCCAGCAAUGCCGCGUGUGUGAAGAAGGCCUUCGGGUUGUAAAGCACUUUCAGUGGGGAAGAAAGUAGUAAGGUUAAUAACCUUAUUAUAUGACAUUACCCACAGAAGAAGCACUGGCUAACUCUGUGCCAGCAGCCGCGGUAAUACAGAGAGUGCAAGCGUUAAUCGGAAUUACUGGGCGUAAAGCGCACGUAGGUGGAUUCUUAAGUCGGAUGUGAAAGCCCUGGGCUUAACCUAGGAAUUGCAUUCGAUACUGGGCGUCUAGAGUAUAGUAGAGGGAAGUGGAAUUUCCGGUGUAGCGGUGAAAUGCGUAGAUAUCGGAAGGAACACCAGUGGCGAAGGCGGCUUCCUGGACUAAUACUGACACUGANGUGCGAAAGCGUGGGUAGCAAACAGGAUUAGAUACCCUGGUAGUCC